RNAcentral lists this ribosomal RNA (500 nucleotides) under uncultured bacterium. RNAcentral's name for it is "partial 16S ribosomal RNA". It matches the Rfam family "Bacterial small subunit ribosomal RNA", at positions 30 to 523 of the family's 1533-position model. The record is from RNAcentral.
AUUGAACGCUGGCGGAAUGCUUUACACAUGCAAGUCGAACGGCAGCACGGACUUCGGUCUGGUGGCGAGUGGCGAACGGGUGAGUAAUGUAUCGGAGCGUGCCCAGUCGUGGGGGAUAACGUAGUGAAAAUUACGCUAAUACCGCAUACGAUCCAUGGAUGAAAGCGGGGGAUCGCAAGACCUCGCGCGAUUGGAGCGGCCGAUAUCAGAUUAGGUAGUUGGUGGGGUAAAGGCCCACCAAGCCAACGAUCUGUAGCUGGUCUGAGAGGACGACCAGCCACACUGGAACUGAGACACGGUCCAGACUCCUACGGGAGGCAGCAGUGGGGAAUUUUGGACAAUGGGCGAAAGCCUGAUCCAGCCAUUCCGCGUGCAGGAUGAAGGCCCUCGGGUUGUAAACUGCUUUUGUACAGAACGAAAAGGUUUCUACUAAUACUAGGAGCUCAUGACGGUACUGUAAGAAUAAGCACCGGCUAACUACGUGCCAGCCGCCGCGGUAA